Molecule: long non-coding RNA, 2749 nt
Organism: Gallus gallus (chicken)
Lineage: Eukaryota; Metazoa; Chordata; Aves; Galliformes; Phasianidae
Exons: 4
Source: RefSeq, a predicted model, not a curated record
AGAGCAGCGGGUGGUUCCGCAGCUGCCCGCUCCCCUCUCACCGGCCCGUGCGGGGGUGGGGGCGCACGCGGAGCCGUUUCCAUGUGAGCGCCCGGGACAAACACAAACACGGCCGCCCCCGCCGCCCACGCACCGGGCGGGCACCGGCGGGGGGAUGGAGGCUUCUGCGGGGCGUCCCGGGGCACUGUCCCCUCAGCCCACAGCAGCGGGCGAAGCUGUUACCCCGCUGCCUGCGGGGCCGGCGGCACCUUAAUGCCUCAGCCGUGUCAGAAGCACUGCACGUCGCCCAGCAGAGCAACUGUUAUCCUUGUGCGGGAAAGGAAAGCUAGCUGGGCGCUUAUGUUAUCGGAGGAUGUGCUUACUCUCCGACGUGCCUCAUUUUGGGCACCCUGGCCCCUCGCAGGCAUUUCAGGAGUUCCUCUGCUCCUCUCCAAGCCUCUCUGUUCGCUUCACCUUGCGUUCCGGGUCGUGGUAGCAGAUGGGCCAGGCCACCGCCAAAGCAGGGAGUGGGAAAGCUGAGGGGGGUGAAACCCCAUCACAGAGCUGAGGGUAGGGGAGCUGCCUUGGCCAUCUCCCUUCGACAGCAUGAGGACUCUCCUCAGCUCCUGGCAGAUCAGCAGGAGUUGAGAGCACUGCUUUCUAUUUCCUCCUCCCCAUCCCUGUCGUACAGAGAGGGCUUGAUGGUGAGUGAUCGUGAGGGAGACAGCUGGCCAUCCUGCCAUAGGGAAUGAAAACAAUAUUCUGCAGAAGCAAAGCAUUGCAGAUCUCUGAUUUCCCUGUUAACGUGGAUAAAAGUUCAUUGAGUCACCACGACUCAGUAAUUGUCUCUGGUCAUCUGAGGCACAUGUCAUGCUAAUGAGCCACACUUGUGGCUCAUUACUGUAAGUCUGUAACUUGUGCCCCUAUGAAAAUAAAUAGCCUGGCUUGCAUAUGUUAUUUUGUAAGGGAAUUGGUCUCUCAGUUGCAGUCUCCCUGCUAUCACUUACCAGAGUUCCAGAAAUGAAUGGUGAUCCCAGAGAAGCUGUGGGUGCCCCAUCCCUGGCUGAAUGGAGCUCUGAGCAGCCUGAUGUAGUAGGUGGCAGCCCUGCCUAUGGAGCUCUGAGAUCCCUUCCAACUCAAACCAUUCUGUGAUUCUGUGAUUCAAUUAAACCACAGGAUCUCAAUUUCAUAGCGCUGUAUAUCAUGCAUUUAGUACAUUUUAAUUUCCCAUUUUCACUCCUAAAUCUAAAUGAUCACUUUCUUACUCUAGAACACAUGCUAAAGCUGCACAAACACAAAACCUCUACCAAACCCCAAAGGUCUUCCCUCCUCAAGAGCAAACUUCACUAUUCUGCUCCAGGAACCUGCAAGAACUUCCCGCAUCCCACUGUGCUGUGCUAUACCUGAAGGAAGGUGUGCUCACCCCGCAUCCACCUGCUCUUCCCUCCUCCACUCACACCCACCCACAUGUCCAGUGACAUCCUUGUGGUGGCUGUCCUGCAGAGCAGCACUCUCACUGUCUUCCUCACUGCCCACAGUCCUGUUCCAGUUUCUCUCACCCUUUCCCAUUAGCGUCACUGUUUCACUCUAGUUUAUUCUCUAGCAGCAUUGCCUAAAUGUUUUCUGUUUGAUAGCAUUUUUUCUUCAAUUCCUAUAAAACAACAUUCUUAGAGUUUAUAAAGGCUGCCACAACCCAGCAGUGAAUAACAAAAUAGUAUUUGCUUAUUACGUUCGCUUUAUUUUAUACAGCACAGUGAAAGACUGUCAUCAAUCCCUGAAAUCACCAUCUCAAUGCUGCUCCAGAGUGCCAGGAGCAGUAACACAGACUGCCCACAUCCAAAACCUUUCAGUCCCAUUUCGCUGAUGGAAGAGCCAAGGGGGAUUUGUGGAGCACGCACUGUGAUGCAAUAAGGUACAGAUUAGCUGGGUAUGGCAGAAGAAGAACAGAGGUCUUCCAAAGAUGUCCAAUUGUACAGAUCCAGGAGAAGUUGGGCUGAGGUGAUGUAUACAGCUGCUUCACCACAGUGUCACUGGACAGCUGCAGAUACAAGAAAAGUAUGUAUAUGCAGACACUGAAAAGCAGCUGAGUCCCAGAGGCAGCCCCUGCAUCUCCCCUGCAAUGCCACCAGAUGCCACCAGGAGGAUUACAGCCCCCAUGACCCAAAAGACAACAACCUAGAAGGAUUUUGCCGAUUCUCAGGAAGCAUUAUAUACAUACAGCCUACUGUUACUCACUGCAUCAAUUUUCAGCCUGCUGUCAGAAGAUGAUAUACAGGAGAUCAUCACUCAUCUUACAGGUCUGUGACUCUCAAUUCUAAAGAAUGAAAGGUGUAUAAUAUAUAUGCUAUGUAUGGUGCUAAGAUUUUACCUACAGUUAGCAUGUAUUGAGAUGGAUGCUUGCAAUUGCAUAUUCUUCUGAUUACUGUGACAUUUCUGAUACAAAGUUAAAGGGCAUCAAGGAAUACUAUUAAGCAGUUCACUGCUUAUGAUUCUAGUGGUGACAUAGAAAAACUUGACUGUAAGCCUUGUUCUGCCUUAAUAAAACCUACUUAUUCACUAAUGAUUCACUGGAGGAUUUGAUUUUUUAUAUGACUUCAUGUUCUGUCUUUCCUGGCAUGUUUUGUUUAUAUUCUUCAUUCUCUACUUGAGCUAUUUUCUAGCAUAGUCUUUCACUGAGGCCAGCAUCUUUUCACAAACUAUGCUUCCUAGAUAUCAUUUUUUCCAGCAGCUGUAGCUGGUUUCCGAACAGCUCAAGGGAUGACAUUGUGGA